This 2729-nucleotide long non-coding RNA is filed under the name Sus scrofa (pig). Its description in RNAcentral is "lncRNA (ENSSSCG00005013191.1)". Lineage: Eukaryota; Metazoa; Chordata; Mammalia; Artiodactyla; Suidae. The record is from RNAcentral.
UCUCAGGCUAGGGGUCGAAUUGGAGCUGUAGUUGCCUGCCUACGCCACAGCCACAGCAACACGGGGGUCUGAGCUUUGUCUGUAACCUAGAGCACAGCUCACAGCAAAGCCAAAUAUUUAACCCACUGAGCAAGGCCAAGGAUCUUACUUAUUCAUUUCUUACUCUCUCUCCCAUGUGCCUGACACUGUUUUGAACUCUGUACAAGAGGCUUUUUUUUUUGGAUCUUGUGACCUAGCUGUGUAAUAAAAUGAGUCAAACUUCUGUGUUGACUUAAGCUCAGUGAAUAGCACCAUUACCUGCCCAUCAGAACCUGAAGACAUCCUAGAUUUUUGUCUCUCUUGUGUGUUCAGUGGCCAAUGACAGGUGAAAAUGUUACUAAAUUAAAUGGCAUUCAGGCGAAUGUCUAAAAAUGAUUUUUAUAAAAUAACGAUGAUUUCCAUUCAAGUAGAUCAGUUUAAGUGUGUUACUACAUUAUUGGAAAUCCUUUUCAUUGGUAAUAUAUAUGAACUAAAAAUUACAUAUUAUAAUCUUGAAGUUAGUCAUCAAUUUCUCUGUGUUUAGUGUACUCCCCUGUCAGAAAGAAUAAUUUCAAAACUCUAGGGGCUGUGAGGAUUAAAUGAGUUAAUACACGUAAGUAGAUGGCUUAGAACAGGACAAUAACUUUUGUUCUCAGGUGACAUAGAACCCUCAGGACCACAUUGAAUUCGCAGCGUGCACCUCUUUUGUCAUCACCGUCAUGAUCGCGCUCAUCUUUAUCACUGAUGUCAGCAUCAUCGACGUGAUGUGGCCACCCCCAUCAGUGACCUUGGUCCUCCCAUCCAACCUCUAUAACUAACGCACCCACAUCAUUCACUUCCUUUCUGAAUAUCUAGAGUUCUUGUAAUCAGUUCCACACAUUUCACAUUCAAUUAGAUAUUGUCUUGAUGGGCUUAAAGGUGGUUUUGUUUACUUGGUUUUUGGCAAACCUCGAAUGAUUUUCCUGCCUCUGUCCUUUCUUCUUCCUCAUAAAGUUGUCUUUCAUGUUUUAAUUUUUUACCACUUUCUUAAGCCCACUUAUUGAGAGAAAGGUUAAAUAAUGACUUCUGCUUUCACAUUUCCUCUGAAAUCCAUCCCUCUGAGGUCAUAAUUGGUGUUCCAAUAGCCAAAUGGAUAGACCCACUGGAGCAUUUUACAAUGGUGACCUCCUCCUUAGAGCACUCUCUUUAUUUGAAUAGUGAUGCAUGCCUUUUCUCCCCCCUUUCUUAGGCUAAUGCUGACAAUUCCUAUGCUAUGUCCAUUUUCUUUCCUCGUCUGCUGACCAUCAAAGAAGUCUUGGUGUACCCAGUUCUCUUUGAUCCUGGUGCCCUAAAAGAUGACCUCAUCCUCGUCACAUCGUCAUCUAGGUAUCAUGUUCCUCUCCAGUCUGAGUUACAUACCCUCCUAUAAGGCCCAAGAGCCUCCAGGGCUUAUGUCUCACACAGAAGUCAUGUGUUUCCCUUCUGUCUUCAGCGCAGGCUUGUGACAGCCUUCAAGGCAAGGAUCAUUAUCCUUGUAAUUCGCAUACUUAAUAGAGUGUUUGUUCCAGUGUAGAAUGCAUUAUAUCUGUCUAAUUAGGUCUCCUUGUCUCUGAUUUCAGAUGUGUCAGUAGGCAAAAUAUGACUUUUUACAUCAGCGUAUUCAUUAUUCAUGUCAUAAUUGACCAGUGUGUGUGCUCUCCUUCAGGGCACUUCUUCUUCUUUUUUAAUUUGCUUUUUAGGGCCACAUGGCCAGGCCACACUCGUGGCAUAUGGAGGUUCCCAGGCUAGGGGCUGAAUCAGAGCUACAGCUGCUGGCCUACAUCACAGCCACAGUAAUGUGAAAUCUGAGCCGUGUCUGGACCUACACCACAGCUCAUGGCAGUGCCAGCUCCUUAACCCACCGAGAAUGGCCAGGGAUCAAACCUCCAACCUCAUGGUUACUAGUCGGAUUUGUUUCCACUGAGUUACAAUGGGCACUUCUAAAGCCCAAAGAACUGUACCCUGAGCCACAAGCCUCUGUCCAUUGUGCUAAAACUUAGCUCCUCAUUCAUCCCUUUAUCGAUGAGGCAUCAUUGUUCAAUUUUUCUUCAUACCUCCUCAUUCUGUUUGUGAAACUACAGAGGGAGUGGAGCUGAAUAAAUUUCAGCACAGAUUCUGUCCUCCAUCUGGAAGAACAGACAACCAGGCAAAUGGACAUGAUAUUGAUACAGUAAGUUGAUCCACAGCGCAUUAGGUCCAUGUAUGUCCUCGAGGAAACUCAGCUGAUCUUUAUGACAAUAGCACCUUGUGUAAUUCUGGGCCCAAGAGAGACAAUGCAUGAUUGUUGACCUAAUGAUGAGUGAGUGAAUGGAUGGGUAACGGCUGGCUGGCAGCAGGCCUGGGGAGCAGGUGUCUGGCAGUCUCUGGCUUCCGGGGGUUCCUCUAGGCCCUACGCAGGGAGAUUCUGGAGCCUGGGGCUGGGAGUGUGAGGGCAGUCACCUCAUCCCAGGUUGUGAAAGUGAUGGCUCUGCAUACACGGGCUGGACCUCAGCCCUGGGAAGACACCAUGCCCAGGAUAAAAGGGCCCCAGUGCUGGGUCCUCCAGUCUCCACUGACAGUCCCCACCCUCCACCGACCAGGGGAGUGCUGGGGAAAGGAGGCUCUGGGGGCAGGACUGCAAGAGGGAGGGGCAGAAGGAGCAGGGAGAUGAGAAGGGGUCACUUCCCGGGGUGAGGGGUGGGAUGGAUGCUGCA